Molecule: non-coding RNA, 227 nt
Organism: Cinara cedri
Lineage: Eukaryota; Metazoa; Arthropoda; Insecta; Hemiptera; Aphididae
Source: the annotation of a GenBank genome assembly
CGCCGAAAAUCCAAAACUGUUCGCACGCCGCGAAUUCUUCGAAUAUUGUAAUUGCGUUCUGUUUUGUUUUGUUUUGUUUUUUUUCAAUUUUCUUUUUUCGUAUUUUCUUAUUACCGAAAUGCGCGUUUGUUACGCAGGUAACUCGUUAGCCGAAAAUCGCCUCGCACACCUAAAUGUAUUUUAUCUGGAGUUAUUAUUGCAUUACGGUUCUGUUUUACGCGAUGGUC